Molecule: ribosomal RNA, 407 nt
Filed under: uncultured bacterium
Lineage: Bacteria
Description: partial 16S ribosomal RNA
Rfam family: Bacterial small subunit ribosomal RNA
Source: RNAcentral
GACGAACGCUGGCGGCGUGCCUAAUACAUGCAAGUAGGACGCAGUUGCGAACGGGUGAGUAACGCGUAGGUAACUACCUAUUAGAGGGGGCUAACUAUUGGAAACGAUAGCUAAUACCGCAUACUAGUAGCUGGACCUGCGUUGUAUUAGCUAGUAGGUAGGGUACUGACCUACCUAGGCAACGAUACAUACUCGACCUGAGAGGGGGACCGGCCACACGGGGACUGAUACACGGCCCAGACUCCUACGGGAGGCAGCGGUAGGAAAUCUUCGGAUAUGGGGGUAACCCUGACCGAGCAACGCCGCGUGAGUGAAGAAGGUUUUCGGAUCGUAAAGCUCUGUUGUUAAGGAAGCGGUACUUAACCAGAAAAGGACGGCUAACUACGUGCGAGCAGCCGCGGUAAUAC